GUUGGCUAGCAGUUAUGUGAUUCUUCUGCAUGACGAAGUCUGACGGAGCACGCCGCGUGAGUGAUGAGUUUUCGAUCGUAAGCUCUGUUGUUAGGAGAACAAGUGCCGUUCAAAUAGGGCGGCACUUGACGGUACUAACCAGAAAGCCACGGCUAACUACGUGCCCAGCAGCCGCGGUAAUACGUAGGUGGCAAGCGUUGUCCGGGAAUUAUUGGGCGUAAAGGGCUCGCAGGCGGUUUCUUAAGUCUGAUGUGAAAGCCCCCGGCUCAACCGGGGAGGGUCAUUGGAAACUGGGGAACUUGAGUGCAGAAGAGGAGAGUGGAAUUCCACGUGUAGCGGUGAAAUGCGUAGAGAUGUGGAGGAACACCAGUGGCGAAGGCGACUCUCUGGUCUGUAACUGACGCUGAGGAGCGAAAGCGUGGGGAGCGAACAGGAUUAGAUACCCUGGUAGUCCACGCCGUAAACGAUGAGUGCUAAGUGUUAGGGGGUUUCCGCCCCUUAGUGCUGCAGCUAACGCAUUAAGCACUCCGCCUGGGGAGUACGGUCGCAAGACUGAAACUCAAAGGAAUUGACGGGGGCCCGCACAAGCGGUGGAGCAUGUGGUUUAAUUCGAAGCAACGCGAAGAACCUUACCAGGUCUUGACAUCCUCUGACAAUCCUAGAGAUAGGACGUCCCCUUCGGGGGCAGAGUGACAGGUGGUGCAUGGUUGUCGUCAGCUCGUGUCGUGAGAUGUUGGGUUAAGUCCCGCAACGAGCGCAACCCUUGAUCUUAGUUGCCAGCAUUCAGUUGGGCACUCUAAGGUGACUGCCGGUGACAAACCGGAGGAAGGUGGGGAUGACGUCAAAUCAUCAUGCCCCUUAUGACCUGGGCUACACACGUGCUACAAUGGACAGAACAAAGGGCAGCGAAACCGCGAGGUUAAGCCAAUCCCACAAAUCUGUUCUCAGUUCGGAUCGCAGUCUGCAACUCGACUGCGUGAAGCUGGAAUCGCUAGUAAUCGCGGAUCAGCAUGCCGCGAUCGAC
RNAcentral lists this ribosomal RNA (1024 nucleotides) under Bacillus velezensis. RNAcentral describes it as "bacterial SSU rRNA". It matches the Rfam family "Bacterial small subunit ribosomal RNA", at positions 343 to 1367 of the family's 1533-position model. The record is from RNAcentral. Lineage: Bacteria; Bacillati; Bacillota; Bacilli; Caryophanales; Bacillaceae.